This 1005-nucleotide ribosomal RNA is filed under the name Lactococcus sp. RNAcentral's name for it is "bacterial SSU rRNA". It matches the Rfam family "Bacterial small subunit ribosomal RNA", at positions 42 to 1032 of the family's 1533-position model. The record is from RNAcentral. Lineage: Bacteria; Bacillati; Bacillota; Bacilli; Lactobacillales; Streptococcaceae.
GUGGGCAGCUAUACUGCAAGUCGAGCGAUGAUUAAAGAUAGCUUGCUAUUUUUAUGAAGAGCGGCGAACGGGUGAGUAACGCGUGGGAAAUCUGCCGAGUAGCGGGGGACAACGUUUGGAAACGAACGCUAAUACCGCAUAACAAUGAGAAUCGCAUGAUUCUUAUUUGAAAGAAGCAAUUGCUUCACUACUUGAUGAUCCCGCGUUGUAUUAGCUAGUUGGUAGUGUAAAGGACUACCAAGGCGAUGAUACAUAGCCGACCUGAGAGGGUGAUCGGCCACACUGGGACUGAGACACGGCCCAGACUCCUACGGGAGGCAGCAGUAGGGAAUCUUCGGCAAUGGGGGCAACCCUGACCGAGCAACGCCGCGUGAGUGAAGAAGGUUUUCGGAUCGUAAAACUCUGUUGUUAGAGAAGAACGUUAAGUAGAGUGGAAAAUUACUUAAGUGACGGUAUCUAACCAGAAAGGGACGGCUAACUACGUGCCAGCAGCCGCGGUAAUACGUAGGUCCCAAGCGUUGUCCGGAUUUAUUGGGCGUAAAGCGAGCGCAGGUGGUUUCUUAAGUCUGAUGUAAAAGGCAGUGGCUCAACCAUUGUGUGCAUUGGAAACUGGGAGACUUGAGUGCAGGAGAGGAGAGUGGAAUUCCAUGUGUAGCGGUGAAAUGCGUAGAUAUAUGGAGGAACACCGGAGGCGAAAGCGGCUCUCUGGCCUGUAACUGACACUGAGGCUCGAAAGCGUGGGGAGCAAACAGGAUUAGAUACCCUGGUAGUCCACGCCGUAAACGAUGAGUGCUAGCUGUAGGGAGCUAUAAGUUCUCUGUAGCGCAGCUAACGCAUUAAGCACUCCGGCCUGGGGAGUACGACCGCAAGGUUGAAACUCAAAGGAAUUGACGGGGGCCGCACAGCGGUGGAAGCAUGUGGUUUAAUUCGAAGCAACGCGAAGAACCUUACCAGGUCUUGACUACUCGUGCAUCCUUAGAAGAAAGGAGUCCUUCGGACCGGGAA